UACGAAGGGUGCUAGCGUUGUUCGGAAUUACUGGGCGUGAAGCGCACGUAGGCGGGUUUGUGAGUAGGGGGUGAAAUCCCCGGGCUCAACCCGGGAACUGCCUUCUAGACUGCAAGCCUGGAGGUCAGGAGAGGCGAGUGGAAUUCCGAGUGUAGAGGUGAAAUUCGUAGAUAUUCGUAGGAACACCAGUGGCGAAGGCGACUCGCUGGACUGAUAAUGACGCUGAGGUGCGAAAGCGUGGGGAUCAAACAGG
This 253-nucleotide ribosomal RNA is filed under the name uncultured bacterium. RNAcentral's name for it is "partial 16S ribosomal RNA". It matches the Rfam family "Bacterial small subunit ribosomal RNA", at positions 524 to 776 of the family's 1533-position model. The record is from RNAcentral.